GGUCUGGUGGUGUAGUUGGUUAUCACGUCAGUCUAACAGUUUGAGAUCUUCUCAUCGAACUCUCCCCCUGUUUCACUGAAGGUCUCCGGCUCAAGUCCGGGCUAGAUCA
Molecule: non-coding RNA, 109 nt
Organism: Colletotrichum lupini
Lineage: Eukaryota; Fungi; Ascomycota; Sordariomycetes; Glomerellales; Glomerellaceae
Source: the annotation of a RefSeq genome assembly